AUGCCCGCCUUUAAAAAGCCACCACCUUUUCUGUCAGAACUACUUAGGUUUGAUGGUGAUUCACGUUCUAAGCAAUUCUUGGAUAGAAUCAGACAAUACAAUUCACUUUUUGCUUUCACGUCCAUGGGAGCGGAUAUUAAUAAACAUAUUAACAAAGGUGGUGGUCCAUAUGUGUUUAAAUUUCAUGGUCAGGUAUAUCACCGUAUUGGAUUGCUUCUGCCAAAUAGAGGUGCCACUCCAAAGUUUGUUGAACUAUACAUUCAUCACACACAAAAUGAGCUUUCAAAUCGAAUUAAUGCCGGGAUGACCGAAGAUGGUGAAAAAGACAGUGGUAUUGAUAGAGACAUAGCUGAUGGUUUAAUGAAGAUGCUUGAUGAGUAUAAUCCUCUUAUGCAGACAUUUAGAAUGGCUAGAGAUCGACUUUAA
This 426-nucleotide ribosomal RNA is filed under the name Triticum aestivum (bread wheat). RNAcentral describes it as "partial small subunit ribosomal RNA". The record is from RNAcentral. Lineage: Eukaryota; Viridiplantae; Streptophyta; Magnoliopsida; Poales; Poaceae.